AGACGUCUACAUUAGACUACCCGGUAGUCCCAGCCGUAAACUAUGCGCGUUAGGUGUAUCGGUGACCACGAGUUACCGAGGUGCCGAAGGGAAACCGUGAAACGUGCCGCCUGGGAAGUACGGUCGCAAGGCUGAAACUUAAAGGAAUUGGCGGGGAGCACCACAACAGGUGGAGCCUGCGGUUUAAUUGGACUCAACGCCGGGAAGCUCACCGGAUAGGACAGCAGAAUGAUUGCCGGGCUGAAGACCCUGCAUGACUAGCUG
This 264-nucleotide ribosomal RNA is filed under the name uncultured archaeon. RNAcentral's name for it is "partial 16S ribosomal RNA". It matches the Rfam family "Archaeal small subunit ribosomal RNA", at positions 717 to 982 of the family's 1478-position model. The record is from RNAcentral.